GACAGAGGAUGCAAGCGUUAUCCGGAAUUACUGGGCGUAAAGGGCGCGUAGGCGGCGUUCCAAGUUAGGCGUGAAAGUCCUGGGCUCAACCUGGGAACUGCGCUUAAGACUGGAAUGCUAGAGGAUGGAAGAGGGUUGUGGAAUUCCCAGUGUAGAGGUGAAAUUCGUAGAUAUUGGGAAGAACACCGGUGGCGAAGGCGGCUCUCUGGACCGAUACUGACGCUGAGGCGCGAAAGCGUGGGGAGCAAACAGG
RNAcentral lists this ribosomal RNA (253 nucleotides) under uncultured bacterium. RNAcentral describes it as "partial 16S ribosomal RNA". It matches the Rfam family "Bacterial small subunit ribosomal RNA", at positions 524 to 776 of the family's 1533-position model. The record is from RNAcentral.